This 289-nucleotide ribosomal RNA is filed under the name uncultured bacterium. RNAcentral's name for it is "partial 16S ribosomal RNA". It matches the Rfam family "Bacterial small subunit ribosomal RNA", at positions 773 to 1060 of the family's 1533-position model. The record is from RNAcentral.
GUGGAUUAGAUACCCUAGUAGUCCACGCCGUAAACGAUGGAUGCUAGCCGUCAGCAAGCAUGCUUGUUGGUGGCGCAGCUAACGCAUUAAGCAUCCCGCCUGGGGAGUACGGCCGCAAGGUUAAAACUCAAAGGAAUUGACGGGGGCCCGCACAAGCGGUGGAGCAUGUGGUUUAAUUCGACGCAACGCGAAGAACCUUACCAGCCCUUGACAUGCCCGGACGGUUUCCAGAGAUGGAUUCCUCCUAGCAAUAGGUCGGGACACAGGUGCUGCACGGUGGUCGACAACU